UUUUUUAAAUCUUCUAGGAAUUCAGAUUUUUCCUGGGCUCAGAGAAACUCUGUGCGUCAUUUCUCAUGUUGUCUAUGUGACUGCAUGGGUUUUAUCCGGGUUCUCUGAUUUUCUCCCACCACCCAAAAACUUGCAGCUUGGUGAACUGGCUACACUAAAUUACCCCUAGAUGUGAAUGAGUGUGUGAAAGUGUGUACUCAUGGUGCCCUUCGACAGACUGGAGUCUGUCCAAUGUGUGUAUGUGGCUCACGCCCAGUGUUCCUGGGUCUGGCUCCAUCCCUGCACAGGAUAAUGCAGCUACUUAAAUGGAGUGAUUGAGCUAAAUUUUCAUUUUGUGAAAAAGUAUAACAUUUGAAGGAUAAGUGCCUUCCUCAUGCCCCAACAAGCUCAGGUAGCAGAAGAUUUAUGGACAAAUAUGUUUGUGUUUAUUUAUUCUUCUACAUUAGGAAUAAGAUUUGGUGAUGACAAAGUCAGGGGUUAAAGUGAGUGAGGAUGAACAAAAAUGAUGAUCCGCACCCUCAGUAAAUUGAAGAACAUCACAGACUUGGAGGAAUACACAGCAUGAGUGACUGGCUACAUCAGCAAAUGCAUAGAUGAUGCAAUGCAUAGAUGAUGUGACUUUCUUCAUUCAGGGCAUUCAGGUCAUCACAGACCACAAAGUUACACCACUUGUCUGUGAUGAUGAUGCCUCGCUCCCAGUUGCACUGAGUGAUUUAUACACACGGUUCAAAGCACAGAACGAUAUGCCAGCAUGGAAGACCACCCCAAUUCCCACUGACCAAGUAAAUUGUCUGUCUGCAGUAGAUGUCAAGAAAACUCUGUACAGAGUUAACCCACGGAACGCUACAGGUCCUGACAGCAUACCUGGCUGGGUGCUCAGGGAAUGAGCUGAUCAGCUGCAGAUGCCCUCACAGACAUCUUUAACAUUUCCCUGCACUAAUCAGUCAUCCCUCUGUGCUUCAAGGUGACCACCAUCAUUCCUGUGACGAAAAGAAAUCGUCUGUGUCUUGCCUGAGUGACUACACGUCCGUUGCACUCACACCUAUCAUCAUGAAGUGCUUCAAGCAGCUAGUCAUGAAACACA
Molecule: long non-coding RNA, 1084 nt
Organism: Ictalurus punctatus (channel catfish)
Lineage: Eukaryota; Metazoa; Chordata; Actinopteri; Siluriformes; Ictaluridae
Source: Ensembl